GUUGAAAUACUGGUUCUCAUAUGAUCACUGAUGUUAAGCAAUGUCAAGCUUGGUCAGUACCUAGAUUGGUGACCAUUUGAGAAUACCAGGUGCUGUAAG
This is a non-coding RNA of Acanthosepion pharaonis, 99 nucleotides long. Lineage: Eukaryota; Metazoa; Mollusca; Cephalopoda; Sepiida; Sepiidae. The record is from the annotation of a GenBank genome assembly.